UGAGGAACAUGACUUUCGGCGGGGGAUAGCCGGCCCAACGGCCGGGUAAUACCGCGUACGACCUUUCGGGGACCUCCCCGGUUGGUGAAAGCAGCAAUGCACCGAAAGGGUGCCUCGCGGCCUAUCAGCUAGUUGGUGAGGUAACGGCUCACCAAGGCAACGACGGGUAGCUGGUCUGAGAGGAUGGCCAGCCACAUUGGGACUGAGACACGGCCCAGACUCCUACGGGGAGCAG
RNAcentral lists this ribosomal RNA (235 nucleotides) under uncultured bacterium. Its description in RNAcentral is "partial 16S ribosomal RNA". It matches the Rfam family "Bacterial small subunit ribosomal RNA", at positions 118 to 351 of the family's 1533-position model. The record is from RNAcentral.